AUGAACGCUGGCGGCGUGCCUAAUACAUGCCAGUCGAGCGAACGGAUGAGAAGCUUGCUUCUCUGAUGUUAGCGGCGGACGGGUGAGUAACACGUGGAUAACCUACCUAUAAGACUGGGAUAACUUCGGGAAACCGAAGCUAAUACCGGAUAAUAUUUUGAACCGCAUGGUUCAAAAGUGAAAGACGGUCUUGCUGUCACUUAUAGAUGGAUCCGCGCUGCAUUAGCUAGUUGGUAAGGUAACGGCUUACCAAGGCAACGAUGCAUAGCCGACCUGAGAGGGUGAUCGGCCACACGGGAACUGAGACACGGUCCAGACUCCUACGGGAGGCAGCAGUAGGGAAUCUUCCGCAAUGGGCGAAAGCCUGACGGAGCAACGCCGCGUGAGUGAUGAAGGUCUUCGGAUCGUAAAACUCUGUUAUUAGGGAAGAACAUAUGUGUAAGUAACUGUGCACAUCUUGACGGUACCUAAUCAGAAAGCCACGGCUAACUACGU
RNAcentral lists this ribosomal RNA (495 nucleotides) under uncultured bacterium. Its description in RNAcentral is "partial 16S ribosomal RNA". It matches the Rfam family "Bacterial small subunit ribosomal RNA", at positions 29 to 506 of the family's 1533-position model. The record is from RNAcentral.